UUCAGGCCUAACACAUGCAAGUCGAACGGUAACAGGGAUUGCUUGCAAUCCGCUGACGAGUGGCGCACGGGUGCGUAACGCGUAUAGAACCUACCCUUUACUGGGGGAUAGCCCGGAGAAAUCCGGAUUAAUACCCCAUAGUAUUAUUUCAGGGCAUCUUGAGAUAUUUAAAGCUUUAGUGGUAAAGGAUGGCUAUGCGUCUUAUUAGCUAGUAGGUGAGGUAACGGCUCACCUAGGCUACGAUAAGUAGGGGCCCUGAGAGGGGGAUCCCCCACACUGGUACUGAGACACGGACCAGACUCCUACGGGAGGCAGCAGUGAGGAAUAUUGGACAAUGGUCGGAAGACUGAUCCAGCCAUGCCGCGUGCAGGAAGACGGCCCUAUGGGUUGUAAACUGCUUUUGUACGGGAAGAAUAAUACCCACGUGUGGGUAGAUGACGGUACCGUACGAAUAAGGACCGGCUAACUCCGUGCCAGCAGCCGCGGUAAUACGGAGGGUCCGAGCGUUAUCCGGAAUUAUUGGGUUUAAAGGGUCCGCAGGCGGGUCAGUAAGUCAGGGGUGAAAGUUUGCGGCUUAACCGUAAAAUUGCCUUUGAUACUGCUGGUCUUGAGUUGCGGUGAAGUGGCCGGAAU
RNAcentral lists this ribosomal RNA (633 nucleotides) under uncultured bacterium. RNAcentral describes it as "bacterial SSU rRNA". It matches the Rfam family "Bacterial small subunit ribosomal RNA", at positions 41 to 667 of the family's 1533-position model. The record is from RNAcentral.